GAAAUGCGAUAAGUAAUGUGAAUUGCAGAAUUCCGUGAAUCAUCGAAUCUUUGAACGCAUAUUGCGCCCUCUGGUAUUCCGGGGGGCAUGCCUGUCCGAGCGUCAUUGCGAACCCCUCAAGCACGGCUUGUGUGAUGGGCCCUCCCGCGUCUUGGUCGUCAAGACGGGCCCGAAAUGCAGUGGCGGCUUCGCGGUUAUCCGAUCAGCCAGAGCGUAUGGGGACUUUCUCUCUGUCACACGCCCGCGGCGCGGACCGACGCCUGUCGACCUUUAUUCAUCUUUUUCUCGGUUGACCUCGGAUCAGGUAGGGAUACCCGCUGAACUUAAGC
RNAcentral lists this unclassified non-coding RNA (329 nucleotides) under plant metagenome. RNAcentral describes it as "partial contains 5.8S ribosomal RNA, internal transcribed spacer 2, and large subunit ribosomal RNA". The stretch from base 1 to 105 matches the Rfam family "5.8S ribosomal RNA", at positions 50 to 154 of the family's 154-position model. The record is from RNAcentral.